This 303-nucleotide ribosomal RNA is filed under the name uncultured bacterium. Its description in RNAcentral is "partial 16S ribosomal RNA". It matches the Rfam family "Bacterial small subunit ribosomal RNA", at positions 507 to 809 of the family's 1533-position model. The record is from RNAcentral.
AGCAGUCGCCGCGGUAAUACGAAGGGGGCUAGCGUUGCUCGGAAUCACUGGGCGUAAAGGGUGCGUAGGCGGGUCUUUAAGUCAGGGGUGAAAUCCUGGAGCUCAACUCCAGAACUGCCUUUGAUACUGAAGAUCUUGAGUUCGGGAGAGGUGAGUGGAACUGCGAGUGUAGAGGUGAAAUUCGUAGAUAUUCGCAAGAACACCAGUGGCGAAGGCGGCUCACUGGCCCGAUACUGACGCUGAGGCACGAAAGCGUGGGGAGCAAACAGGAUUAGAUACCCCAGUAGUCCCUGUCUCUUAUAA